AAAUGACACAUUGUCGACCCUUGGUGAAGUCAGAGCCAAUCUAACUGCUGAACAUGUCUGAAUCUCAAGAGUUAUUAAGGGCUUCCCUUCUUGCCUUUAUGACUUUUCUUCAGCCUACCAAUGCAAUCUUAAAUGUAUUAUCUUUAAGAAAUAAUUGUAAAACCUCAGGGGUUUUCCAGUUAAUGGAAGGGAGGCUAAACCACAUCAGAUUCUGAAAUGCAACAUUAAACCCUUGCAAUCAACAAAACCACCUCAAUUCUCAUCCAUCCAGUGCAGGAUCUAAUAUUGUUAUUAGAGAUAAUCAAAUUUCAUUGUGUAAAUUUAGGCUCAUGGUCAGAAUGGAAGCAGUAAAUUCUGCAAUAUUAAACAGUGAUUUUUCUUAGCCCCCUUUAUAUGUUCUUUCAUGGUGCACUGUCUUCACAAAUAAACCUAAACUAUUCAAAAAUCAAGGAACACAUCUGUCGCCCUAUUCUGAAAGAUGUACGCAAUGUUGUUUGCCAUCUCCACAGCCUUUCUUUAGUUUUAACUUGAUCUAGCGGAUAAGUUCCAUUUUAGAGAAUAAUAAAGCAGUAUCAACUGCAUAAACCAAACAGCAGGUACUAUUACUGUGACUUACACAGAUGGUUUACCUGACCUUUCUUUGUUCCUUGGGUAGGUUUCACUUUUGCAGAUUUACGACUUUUCCCUCUAUAUUUCAUUGACCCCCUAUGUUCAUUAUCAUAAAAAUGAAAACUAUUGAAUACAUGUUUAUGUUGGCAAAGUCCAAAAAGCCCACGACUAAAGGAUAAAGAGAUGCUACAAUGCACUGUGUGGAUCUCUAGAUCGUACACUAUAAAUAUUCAAGCACAGAUAACACGAAUAACUGAAUAAUCCUGGUGAGCCUCAGCUCUGGAGCCAGGUGCAAGAGGUUAAAACAGCUGGCUAGCCAUCUUUUAUUUUGUGUGCCUUCCUACCGGCUGAAACCGCAAACCCUGAAAACUAGCAGAUAGUCCCUCAAGGUUGAUAGUCUGAUUUUUUUCAUUUCAACCAGUUUAGUAGGAUCCCCCAGCAGAGAAAAGACAGAAACUCCUUAAAUACAGGCAGUUGAAUAGGAAGUGGAGCAAUGAUGAUUAAGGCUCUUCCCCCCCACACACCCCCCAACCUUCAACCCCCCGUUUAUUUCCACGAUCUUCUUUGUGCACCUUCCCAUCCAAAUGUUUGUAUUCCUUAUUUCAAAGAAAAGCACUCCGGAUCGUUCUGUCAGUUUUGCCAGUAAAUAUAAAGUAAAACAAGUGUUGAUGGCACUGAGAGUGUUACAUACCCAGGCUGUGUUUUUGCAUUGCUCUCAAUGGAAGCGAUCGAUGCCCAUGUCACAGUCGCGUCCCAAUCGCAGCCAAGUCUCUGCCUCAAUCUAACCAACAACAGGCAGGGCUGCAAAGGCUUCUCACUACCUCUUCCAUCCAUCCACCACCAAACUAAAAAUAUAAUGCUACAUAUGAUCUUUUUAAACACUCCAUCACCGCUCCUAAGGAUCGAGCCACUGCAAAUCCAGGGGAAACACGAUUGAAAAAAAAAAAAAAUACACCAUCAAAAAAAUCCCAACCUAACAACAGCCACCCCAAAAGCACCCGAGCCCUCUCUUUCCACUCUCUCGCUCUCCUCCUGCCAACUGCAUAAUCCUUGAUAAAACCGGAGCAAGGCUAAUAAAAAGAAAAUUAAAAAAAAAAAAAAAAAAAAAAAAAAAAAAAAAAAAAAAGAAAGAAAGAAAAAAGAGGAGGACGGAAUGGAGCCGAGGAAAUGCAACUGUCAGAAAACGGGAUGGUCAGACUUCCUGAGUGAACCUGCCUGUGUCUGGCUUAAUGUAAAUCUCCACCAUCUUCAGCCUGGCAAGUUGUCUUUUGGUUGGGCUUUUUUUUUUUUUUUUUUUUUUUUUUUUUUUUUUUUUUUUUUUUUUUUUUUUUGGUGGGGAGGGGGGUGUUAUGUUUGCGAUCUCUGCCUUGGUACCUAAGGAGGAAGAGGAGGAGGAGGAGGGUGUGUUACUGAAUGGUGGCUAAAGCCUCCUCGGGACGGCGCUGAGGUGAAACAGGCUGAACCCGACUGAUGUGGCUCCUCUCUCGGUUGGACCCAGUGCCCUAAGCAGCCGAUGAGAGACCCCCGGCCGCCCGGCUCGCAGGAAGCCCUCAUAAAUUAUUAAAUCGCACUUGAUCAAGUUAACAAUGGAGUUAACUACAAGCAGGUAUCUUUUUAGUGCUGAAAUGGACACACUAAUUGUGAACCAUGUGGUAAGGAGCUCCUUCUGAAAUAUGCAGCAGAUUUACCGGCAUUUAGCAGGCUGUGUGCUUUAAAGCUUCUCUUGCCUGUAAUCAUGUGAACGAACCUUGCACGUCCCACAGCCAGCUCGGGAUCCAGCACAGCACGUAACAGCAGCACUGAAACAGCCCCCACCACCAGGCAAGGGACAGAAAGGAGAUGGUGACCUGCAAGGGGAUGAGAGACCUCCCUUACCAGGAUUUGCUCACGGUUUUGCUUCUGGCAACUAACAUUUCCAUUUUUCUCAAAGCUUCUACAUCUGUGUCAUCAGACAAGGCCCCAUGAGUGGUGGCAGAGCAAACUGUAGCCUUCAUUUUCAAGUUCGAAGAGAAAGAAUUAUUUACAUGUCUAAAUCCCAGCACUGGCUCUUCAGAGGUCACUCUUUGUUGCCCACUGCUAUGAACCAUUAAAGCUUCCAAAAGCUCUAAAAGAAACAGGACAGGCUGGGGCAGAAAAGUCUUAUUGUUUUAAAUUUGUUUAAAUUCUAUUUUGUUGUAUUAUAUGAUUUUUGUCCUACCAGAGGAACACAGAAGAUGGGAUGUUUCUGUCAUUGCUUGCAUGAAUGACUACUUAAAUUGACUGUCAGAGCUUGCAGGACAAAUCUUUGACCCUUCUCAAGACUGUUUUAAACUGAAGGAGAUUAUGUUUUAGUUGAUCAGGACUGUAGACUGUUUUUAAAGGAAAAUUACUGAUUCAUGCAACGAAUUUUACUGUUUUAUCACCCUUCCAACUCAGUAUUUAUAUAUCUUUUUGGUUACAAAUUUAGAUAAAUUUUUAACUAUGUGUUUUAAUGUUGUCCUAUCUUUUUUUUUCCCUUUCCUGUUUUAGACAUGUUUUCCUGAAUCAAACCCUUGAAUUUAGUGACAAUUAGUACAAUUUUCAGACAUAUCAGUAAGAGUUUCUGUCCUAAAUGUGGGAAUGUAGGUGUUAAGAGGAAGCACAGGGAAUGGCUUUCUUUUCUAUUCACAAAGGAAGCACUAAGACAUCAAGGUUAUUCAACAGAAAUUAAUAAAUGCAGCCUGGAAAGUUAUUAUUUUUCCAAACUGUGAGAAGAUCUCUGAAAUAAUAAAGAUAACAUAAAAUACAACCUGGAGAAUUUGUCGAAUUUUCUUUAAAAAAAAAAGUGGAAACAACAACAAAAAAAAGGCAUUUCACAGUGAAAAAAAAUUUUAGGCAGGGGAAAAAAGGAUUUGUUUGACAGAGUGUUGGGGUAGCUUGAAAGAAUGAUACAGGGCCUUUUCUUUGCUGCUGCUUCAGAAUUGUGUUGGGCAUUUAAUCUUAGUUUCCCUGCCUGCAAAUAGAAGAUGA
Prinia subflava (tawny-flanked prinia) is the source of this 3597-nucleotide long non-coding RNA. RefSeq lists it as uncharacterized. The record is from RefSeq and is a predicted model, not a curated record. NCBI's taxonomy places the organism in Eukaryota, Metazoa, Chordata, Aves, Passeriformes, Cisticolidae. The transcript has 3 exons.